CUCUGUGACUCCUACGGGGAGGCAGCAGUGGGGAAUAUUGCACAAUGGGGGGAAACCCUGAUGCAGCCAUGCCGCGUGUGUGAAGAAGGCCUUCGGGUUGUAAAGCACUUUCAGUAGGGAGGAAGGUAGUGUAGUUAACACCUGCAUUAUUUGACGUUACCUACAGAAGAAGCACCGGCUAACUCCGUGCCAGCAGCCGCGGUAAUACGGAGGGUGCGAGCGUUAAUCGGAAUUACUGGGCGUAAAGCGCAUGCAGGCGGCCUGUUAAGUCAGAUGUGAAAGCCCGGGGCUUAACCUCGGAAUUGCAUUUGAAACUGGCAGGCUAGAGUCUUGUAGAGGGGGGUAGGAAUUUCAGGUGUAGCGGUGAAAUGCGUAGAGAUCUGAAGGAAUACCAGUGGCGAAGGCGGCCCCCUGGACAAAGACUGACGCUCAGAUGCGAAAGCGUGGGGAGCAAACAGGAUUAGAUACCCUUGUAG
This 476-nucleotide ribosomal RNA is filed under the name uncultured bacterium. RNAcentral describes it as "bacterial SSU rRNA". It matches the Rfam family "Bacterial small subunit ribosomal RNA", at positions 328 to 793 of the family's 1533-position model. The record is from RNAcentral.